RNAcentral lists this ribosomal RNA (711 nucleotides) under uncultured Desulfosarcina sp. RNAcentral's name for it is "bacterial SSU rRNA". It matches the Rfam family "Bacterial small subunit ribosomal RNA", at positions 99 to 787 of the family's 1533-position model. Lineage: Bacteria; Pseudomonadati; Thermodesulfobacteriota; Desulfobacteria; Desulfobacterales; Desulfosarcinaceae. The record is from RNAcentral.
CGCACGGGUGAGUAACGCGUGGGUAAUCUACCUCCGACUCGGGGAUAACAUUGCGAAAGCGAUGCUAAUACCGGAUAAUAUCAAGAAUACUUCGGUUUUCUUGAUCAAAGGUGGCCUCUACAUGAAAGCUUUUGAUUGGAGAUGAGCCCGCGUACCAUUAGCUUGUUGGUGGGGUAAUGGCCUACCAAGGCUGCGAUGGUUAGCUGGUCUGAGAGGAUGAUCAGCCACACUGGAACUGACACACGGUCCAGACUCCUACGGGAGGCAGCAGUGAGGAAUUUUGCGCAAUGGGCGAAAGCCUGACGCAGCAACGCCGCGUGAGUGAUGAAGGCUUUCGGGUCGUAAAGCUCUGUCAAGUGGGAAGAACCUAUGUAAUGCUAAUAUCAUUAUAUACUGACGGUACCACUGAAGGAAGCACCGGCUAACUCCGUGCCAGCAGCCGCGGUAAUACGGGGGGUGCAAGCGUUAUUCGGAAUCAUUGGGCGUAAAGAGCACGUAGGCGGCCUGGUAAGUCAGAUGUGAAAGCCCGGGGCUUAACCCCGGAAGUGCAUUUGAUACUGCCAGGCUUGAGUAUGGGAGAGGGAAGUGGAAUUCCUGGUGUAGAGGUGAAAUUCGUAGAUAUCAGAGGAACACCGGUGGCGAAGGCGACUUCCUGGACCAAUACUGACGCUGAGGUGCGAAGGCGUGGGGAGCGAACAGGAUUAGAUACCC